AGCGAACGCUGGCGGCAGGCCUAACACAUGCAAGUCGAACGAACUCUUCGGAGUUAGUGGCGGACGGGUGAGUAACACGUGGGAACGUGCCUUUUGGUUCGGAAUAACUCAGGGAAACUUGUGCUAAUACCGAAUGUGCCCUUCGGGGGAAAGAUUUAUCGCCAUUAGAGCGGCCCGCGUCUGAUUAGCUAGUUGGUGAGGUAACGGCUCACCAAGGCGACGAUCAGUAGCUGGUCUGAGAGGAUGACCAGCCACACUGGGACUGAGACACGGCCCAGACUCCUACGGGAGGCAGCAGUGGGGAAUCUUGCGCAAUGGGGGAAAGCCUGACGCAGCCAUGCCGCGUGAAUGAUGAAGGUCUUAGGAUUGUAAAAUUCUUUCACCGGGGACGAUAAUGACGGUACCCGGAGAAGAAGCCCCGGCUAACUUCGUG
RNAcentral lists this ribosomal RNA (433 nucleotides) under uncultured bacterium. Its description in RNAcentral is "partial 16S ribosomal RNA". It matches the Rfam family "Bacterial small subunit ribosomal RNA", at positions 29 to 507 of the family's 1533-position model. The record is from RNAcentral.